UACGAGUGCCCCAAGCGUUAUCCGGAAUUAUUGGGCGUAAAGGGUGUGUAGGCGGCGUUGUUAGUCUCUUGUCAAAUUCUUCGGCUUAACCGGGGGCAGGCAAGGGAAACGGCAAUGCUAGAGGAUGCGAGGGGUGAGCGGAACUCAUGGAGUAGGGGUGAAAUCCGUUGAUAUCAUGGGGAACACCAAAAGCGAAGGCAGCUCACUGGCGCAUUCCUGACGCUGAAACACGAAAGCGUGGGUAGCGAACGGG
This 253-nucleotide ribosomal RNA is filed under the name uncultured prokaryote. RNAcentral describes it as "partial 16S ribosomal RNA". It matches the Rfam family "Bacterial small subunit ribosomal RNA", at positions 524 to 776 of the family's 1533-position model. The record is from RNAcentral.